UAGGGAAUCUUCGGCAAUGGACGAAAGUCUGACCGAGCAACGCCGCGCGAGUGAAGAAGGUUUUCGGAUCGUAAAACUCUGUUGUUAGAGAAGAACAAGGACGUUAGUAACUGAACGUCCCCUGACGGUAUCUAACCGGAAAGCCACGGCUAACUACGUGCCAGCAGCCGCGGUAAUACGCAGGUGGCAAGCGUUGUCCGGAUUUAUUGGGCGUAAAGCGAGCGCAGGCGGUAUCUUAAGUCUGAUGUGAAAGCCCCCGGCUCAACCGGGGAGAGUAGUUGGAAACUGGGAGGCUUGAGUGCAGAAGAGGAGGGUGGAAUUCCAUGUGGAGGGGUGGAAUGCGUAGAUAUAUGGAGGAACACCAGUGGCGAAGGCGGCUCGCUGGUCUGUAACUGACGCUGAGGCUAGAAAGCGUGGGGAGCAAACAGG
This 429-nucleotide ribosomal RNA is filed under the name Gemmatimonadota bacterium. RNAcentral's name for it is "Gemmatimonadetes bacterium partial 16S ribosomal RNA". It matches the Rfam family "Bacterial small subunit ribosomal RNA", at positions 355 to 776 of the family's 1533-position model. The record is from RNAcentral. Lineage: Bacteria; Pseudomonadati; Gemmatimonadota.